Molecule: long non-coding RNA, 2748 nt
Filed under: Cavia porcellus (domestic guinea pig)
Lineage: Eukaryota; Metazoa; Chordata; Mammalia; Rodentia; Caviidae
Description: lncRNA (ENSCPOG00000037656.1)
Source: RNAcentral
CGUGACUGACGGCCUCCGAGCCCGGGCGGGACGGGAUUCCGAUAUAGGGUUCUGGAGCCGUGCGUUUAGGCUUGGCCACAGCUGGGGUCACUAAGAGACCUCUCGGAGGAAUGAGCACCCGCGCUGGCGAAGAUGACGAGAAUUUUUACGGUGGUGGUGCGAGGGUUAUUUUCAGUGAACGGGGAUUGCCUGUCCGAGCAACCAGCUAUGCGCCGAGAAUCCCCAGUGCCAUAAGAGGGCUAUUUGGGGCCUUCGCUGGACUGGAGGGUCGAAGCUGCUAUCAGUUCUGUUUCUCCCUAGAACACUCCCGCCUUCUGAAGCCACAACGCCGGGGAGCGCGGGCAGCGCGGCGUCGGAGAGCUGCCUCCGCCGCCAUCUUAGCGAAGGCGAGCCCGGCGCGCGCCUGGGCACCCGGCCGGCCUCCCUUGGUCCCCCCGCGGCGUAGCGCGCAGAGGUGAAGGUCCGAGCGCGUCUGGCCCUCACUGGAGAGCGAAGAGGCAAGGUCUUCACUCCCUACCCUACAGGCUGGGAGUAAGUGCCAAUAAGGGGCAAGAAUGUGCUCCCUUGAGAGGAUGAGAAAACCCACGGCGGUUCCGCUCAACAAAGGGUGGGAUAACUUACACUUGCUUGGGAUACCAUCCUAGGCUUCUACUUCCCCAUCUUCAGCCCUUAAAUAAAAUGUUCAUCCCUCUUAAAACUACCCGAGUAGAUUUGAGCUAAAUCCUACUCUCACCGCCUUAUUUGAAAACCACUGUAGCUGGGGACCACUUACUGUUCUGCUACACGGUCACUGUGGACUGAAUAGUCUGGACUCAGACAAUCUGGCAUCUUGAACACCCGUUGAUAAUGCAGACUCUAGUACUUAAAUGGUUCAAACGUAUUUGCCCAUUUCUCUGCACACAGGAGUCCAGCAGGCACGUGCCCCUGGGCCCUGGCAAUACCCAAAAUCUUCCCAACAUUUGCAGCUAAGCAGCUUAUACAAGACAAUAACGUGUUAGAAGUAGAGCCUUAGGAAGUCAGUUCUCUUGAAGCUUAAUUUAUGCACCUGCAAAUAAGGGAUUUCGGCCAGCAUGAGUUCACCAGUGUUAAAAUAAUGCUAAACUCUUUUCAGAGUCCCAGACCUUGUGCUAAGUGUUUUGCAUACAUUAUCUCAUUUAAUCCUGACUCCAAUACUGUUUUAGGUACGUGAUACUAUUCUCCUUUUAGGAAACACAAGCAAAGUUCUAAAAGUCAGUGGUUGUAUUUUACGUCUGUCAUGAAACAUGCGAUAAAUGCAUUUUAAAACCAACUAUUGAAAGAUUUAAGAAAGUAAUAUUGUUGCCUGUGGUAAUCUCUAAUGAGUUUAUAAAUGUGCUUAAAACAAGUUACAAUGUAGCAGUGCUAGAGUUAGGUUUCACGAUCCAUUGUCAAGUAACAAAGUGGUGCGCCCCCCCAUUAAACUUUAAAUUUAGCAUAUUCACUUUACUUUUACAGAUAAAGUCCUCUGUUUCUACAAUGUUAGGGGUGCUUGUUAACACUGUAUAGUUCUGAAUAGCUUUGCUUUUUCAGUUCUUUUGUCUUAGUUUGCCAGUCUUCUCACUGUCAGCUGUUGCUUCUUGUUGCUAUCAAUGAACAUAGUUCUAUUAUCCUCUCCUGCCUUUUAAUUUACUGCUUUUAAUCUGCAGGCAAGAAAACCACAUAAUGAGGCUUGUGCAAAACUGUCAAGUAUAAAUAGGUACUUUGAGGGAGUGUCCCUUAGAAAAAGUACGAUCUUUGUGCUAGGUUAUUGUAACACUGAUUUAAAGCUGAUUAAAUACAUAUUUGCCUACUUGAUAGUUUGGUCUUUUCCUGAGUUAGGAAUAGAUUUUUUUUUUUUGUAAAGUUAAAAUUUAGAAUAUUUUCCCAUUUUAAGGUAGUGGACAUCUUCAUAGUGAGGUCAGUAGGAAUAUUUCAGUGUUACUAUCACACUGCAUCAAAUAACCAAACUACCAAUCCAAACUACAGAAUCAAAAUACAGGUACUAUAUACAUUUACUAUUUUAUACUAGAAUUAGUUACAAACAGGCCAAGAAAACCCUUUGCCUCUGCUCAAUUCUGGUAGAUUUUCUUUUGCAUCAUGUUUUAGAAGCUAGAUGAUUGUAUCUUCAUAUAUUUUAAAUUUACUUAUUAAAUCACAGAAAAGACCCAACAGACCCACUAUUAAUAGUUACUACAAUUUAAAACACUGUAGACUCAAAAAUACCUAACAAAAAACUACCAUACAUAUCUUGAUAAAGUCAAUAAGUUGCCAUUAUAGUAAUUAUUUGCUAUAAUGUAGCAGCAUACUUCUGAUCUUUAAAAUGCCAAAGUUAAUUGUCUUGUGAUUUUAAUGUGGCCUUUAAGCAUGUUUUUUCUGAAAUUAGAAUUAUUGGCAGAGGUUUAAGAUUUACAUAUUUGUAUCUAAACCACUUGAAGAAAAGUUCAAAGCCCUGAUUAUAUGUGUAUAGAUUUUAAACUUUAUAAAUUACUGUAGCACAUUCUUAGGAGUAAAUUUAUUUUUUAGUUAUUGUGUACUAGAGUAUUUUCCUUACUGCAUAUUUAAGGACUAAGUUAUUUUGAUAUUAAUGCCUAAAAAAGGAAAAGAUGCUAAUGAAAAGUUAAAAUAUAGAUAUGCCAUAAUAUUGCUUCAAAAAAUUGUGUAUCUGAGUUUUGAAAAUCAAUAUAUUCUGUGUCAGCUGACUUGAAUUUAUGGUCAGUCUUUUUAAUAAAGUAGAAAUCUCAUUUAAAAAUU